Molecule: long non-coding RNA, 105 nt
Organism: Myotis brandtii (Brandt's bat)
Lineage: Eukaryota; Metazoa; Chordata; Mammalia; Chiroptera; Vespertilionidae
Exons: 3
Source: RefSeq, a predicted model, not a curated record
GCCAGGAGGGGAGAGCAGAUAGACAGUUAGGGGGAUCAGGCCAGGAGGGGAGAGCAGAUAGGCAGUUAGGGGGAUCAGGCCAGGAGGGGAGAGCAGAUAGCUGGU